GUUGUUUUAUCUCUUCUUGAGCAAGUGGCUAUUUUUUUGUUUAUGUUUGCAUAUGAUUAGUAUUGUAUAAUUUAUACUUUAUUUUGCAGAUGGAAUUAAAUUAUACUGGAGAGAAAGGUCAAAGGUUGUUUGGUUGCUUGAGUUUUUGUUAUGUGUAUUUGUGCUUAUUUGACAUUGAGUUUUGUUUAUGUCCCAUUGAACCAACGACUAAAUAAAAUUGUGCUUAUUUACCAAUAUGCAAUGGCUGGCCGUGUAACACUGAAACGAUGUUGUCAUAUCAUUGUUUGACUGGUAGUUAUGGUGAAUAUUCGUUAAGGUUUGCAACAAAUUUGAUGAUAUUAACUGAUAAUUUUUUUUUUUUUUUUCGUUUGGUAGGUCCUUUGGCGAACAAUCCAGUGACUGAUUUUGAAAAGGCUGUCAAUAAGUUGCGACGAAA
RNAcentral lists this long non-coding RNA (436 nucleotides) under Medicago truncatula (barrel medic). RNAcentral describes it as "long non-coding RNA (MTRU_LNC003306)". Lineage: Eukaryota; Viridiplantae; Streptophyta; Magnoliopsida; Fabales; Fabaceae. The record is from RNAcentral.